Molecule: transfer RNA, 98 nt
Filed under: Symplocos paniculata
Lineage: Eukaryota; Viridiplantae; Streptophyta; Magnoliopsida; Ericales; Symplocaceae
Description: tRNA-Leu
Rfam family: tRNA
About the family: Transfer RNA (tRNA) molecules are approximately 80 nucleotides in length. Their secondary structure includes four short double-helical elements and three loops (D, anti-codon, and T loops). Further hydrogen bonds mediate the characteristic L-shaped molecular structure. tRNAs have two regions of fundamental functional importance: the anti-codon, which is responsible for specific mRNA codon recognition, and the 3' end, to which the tRNAs corresponding amino acid is attached (by aminoacyl-tRNA synthetases). tRNAs cope with the degeneracy of the genetic code in two manners: having more than one tRNA (with a specific anti-codon) for a particular amino acid; and 'wobble' base-pairing, i.e. permitting non-standard base-pairing at the 3rd anti-codon position.
Source: RNAcentral
GUGAAAUUGGUAGACACGCUGCUCUUAGGAAGCAGUGCUAGAGCAUCUCGGUUCGAGUCCAGUGCUAGAGCAUCUCGGUUCGAGUCCGAGUGGCGGCA